UACGGAGGGUGCAAGCGUUAAUCGGAAUUACUGGGCGUAAAGGGCGCGUAGGCGGCCUGUUAAGUCGGGUGUGAAAGCCCUGGGCUCAACCCAGGAAGUGCACUCGAAACUGGCGGGCUUGAAUAUGGAAGAGGGUCGCGGAAUUCCCGGUGUAGCGGUGAAAUGCGCAGAUAUCAGGAGGAACACCGGUGGCGAAGGCGGGUCUCUGGGCCGGAACUGACGCUGAGGAGCGAAAGCGUGGGGAGCGAACAGG
This 253-nucleotide ribosomal RNA is filed under the name uncultured bacterium. Its description in RNAcentral is "partial 16S ribosomal RNA". It matches the Rfam family "Bacterial small subunit ribosomal RNA", at positions 524 to 776 of the family's 1533-position model. The record is from RNAcentral.